CGCUGGCGGCAUGCCUAACACAUGCAAGUCGAACGAGACCUUCGGGUCUAGUGGCGCACGGGUGCGUAACACGUGGGAAUUUGCCUCGGGGUAUGGAAUAACUCAGGGAAACUUGAGCUAAUACCAUAUAAUGUCUUCGGACCAAAGAUUUAUCGCCCUGAGAUAAGCCCGCGUAGGAUUAGCUAGUUGGUGGGGUAAAGGCUCACCAAGGCGACGAUCCUUAGCUGGUCUGAGAGGAUGAUCAGCCACACUGGGACUGAGACACGGCCCAGACUCCUACGGGAGGCAGCAGUGGGGAAUAUUGGACAAUGGGCGCAAGCCUGAUCCAGCCAUGCCGCGUGAGUGAUGAAGGCCCUAGGGUUGUAAAGCUCUUUCACCGGUGAAGAUAAUGACGGUAACCGGAGAAGAAGCCCCGGCUAACUUCGUG
RNAcentral lists this ribosomal RNA (427 nucleotides) under uncultured bacterium. RNAcentral's name for it is "bacterial SSU rRNA". It matches the Rfam family "Bacterial small subunit ribosomal RNA", at positions 34 to 507 of the family's 1533-position model. The record is from RNAcentral.